UCCACACAUGAUUACUAGGCAGAGCGGCUGGGUAUAGUGCAUAAUCAAAGACGACGACCUCCAAGGAAGUAAUAUGGGUUCAAAUAUUAUUUGUACAUCUCUCUUGCAAGAAAAACCUUUCCUCCACCUCUGUCGGCGCAGUCACCGGUCUGUCUCAUCUCCGAUGGCCUUUGGGCCAUGGAGGUGCAAAGGACCUCGACCCCCUGCCAGCGGGAGGUACCCCAUCCUCGUUCUUUAGUAUCAGCGUCUUGCUUGGGGCUGUGUGGCGGCGACAAUGUCCCUCGAUAGGAAUAGUGUCUUCCACGUUCUAUGGUGUGUCUAUGUUCGUUGGAGGGCGUGUGGAGAUGUGUCUCCGUCAGAUCUCGCGGGAUUCGGUUGGAGUUGUUAUUUGUUUGGAUCCGGCUUUCGUUCAUCUUCGUUUGAGCACCGGUGAUGUUUGCUGCUCUGGUGCUUUGGUCCUAUGGGGUCUUAACACGACGACUUUCCGACUGUCAACUACAAUAAGGUUUGCCCGACUCCAGUGGAGAAGGGGCGAUGACGGCAGCGCGCCUUCGGCUCGCUCCGGUGCUUUCAGUUAUCGCUAGGUGGUCCACAGACUUGGUUGACUUAUGGUCUGGAUCGUGAUUCCCAACCGACCAGACGUCUCAGCAGACAGCAGUCAGCACAAGUCAUCCUAUUUAUUUUGUUUUAUACUAGUAAAAGAACCCGUGCGUCGUAACCAGA
Molecule: long non-coding RNA, 723 nt
Organism: Aegilops tauschii subsp. strangulata
Lineage: Eukaryota; Viridiplantae; Streptophyta; Magnoliopsida; Poales; Poaceae
Source: RefSeq, a predicted model, not a curated record